AAUCCCUACUCUCCCAACCCCUUCUCCAACAAUCGACGCUCUCAAACCCUCAUCUCCCAAAAUCCUUCUCUCCUCCCUACAAAAACCGACCGACUCUCUCUCUCUCUCUCUCUCUGUUUAUUGAGGUUUGGUGGUGUUUUCGUAGGGUGUAUAGCAAUGCAGAGGGAAAAUAACAGGAGAGGAACUACAAGAGGUGAGGAUUUUUCUUCUCUUCUUCCAUAUGCAGCCAUGGCGAGUGCUUUUACGAACAAGCUAUUGAAGUCGAAAGAACAAGCAGAAGAAUACCCCUUUUUUAUCAUGGAAGAACUCAACCCUAAAAAUUUCGGCUACAUCACGGUACACCGUGCUUCCAAUCAUAGCCCAAAUCAUCAAGGACAUGCCUCAACAAUUGAAAGUGAGGCUUCUAGAGGAAGUGGGAGAGCAUGAUAGAGAACGGAUAUUGUCUGGUGCAACAACAUAAAGGAUGACAACUAUUGAGGAAAUGGUGGGCAUGUAUGUGUUGUGUGUUUCCUAUAUUUGCGAAAGGGUACGAAAAAGAUCCGGCAAUUGUAGCAAAUGAAGCUAUCCAGAAGGGUACUCGCAAUAAAUUGGAUGUUGUUUUUGUAGAUAUAGCUAGGUGGAUGUAGGACAAUGAACAACACUGAUAAGAGCACUUUCCAAGCUCAUUAUUUAUCUUAACAACCUAGAUCUGGUUCUUUUAGCUGGAGAGGCACUGAUCAGGUUUUGAAUUUGUUGCAACUUUAUUGUACUCGCUACAUCAAAAUCAUGCUUUUCAAUUCCCUUCUAUUGGAGAAGAAAGAAAACAGCAGCCAUGCAAGAAAACAAAAUAUAUGGUUAACUAAUGAGACAUUGAUAGAAUUACAGUUCAGAAACAAAAUAUGUUCUUAUACUUGUUUGCCUUUUAAAGAAUUCGGAAAGAUGGGUAUUGAUUUUUUAUUUUAUUUUUAGAAUUUUUUAAUUUUGAACAGGUUGGGCUGUUGAUUGUAGAUGGGUACUACAACAGCUUGCUUGCUCUGUUUGACCACUAAUUUUGUAAUUGUUGUAGAUGAUGAAAAUGGUGAUGAAGAAGGAGAUCUUAUCAUGGAAGCAUAUCUUACAAGUUUAAUGUCAUUUGUUUCAUUUCAGUUAUCAGUCUCUUCUAUAUUUUAUCAAAUCAAUAAAAUCUUUUCACAAUCUCAAACAAUAAAACUAACAAUCAUCAACAUCAUGAAGAUGAAAGCUUCACAAGAUGUUAAAAAUCUUACACAUUGAAGAGAAUAGAAAAGAAGAAGAAGAAGAAGAAGAUCAGGAAAAUACAUCAGGUUUAUUUUCUUCUUCUUAGACCUUCAUAUGAUUUGGCUUGGCUCUUGGAGAGGGCUGAAUUAUUUUUUUAGUUCUUCCUUCCAGCUCUUCAAAAUAUGAUGCGACUGGAAUUCCUAAUACAAACCUGCAUUUCUUCUUUUAUACACUUCAGCUUUCAACCCACACACCAUGUCAUGUGCCAAGCACAUGCCAUGUCACCAACCUGACACUAUUUCAUUUCCCUUCAUCUAAAUUUGAAUUUCAAAUUGAAGACUCAAUUGCAUUAUGAAGGAGUUCUUUGAUGGAUAGCACUUGUACAAAUCCCCCACGUGCUAGAGACUGGUUAAAUUGUGGUAGGUUACAGUGGCAUGUAUGGCUACACACUAAACUAGCAACAACUUACAGAACAAAAAAAACAAAAAAAAAAAAACAAUUCUACAAGUGAUCUUCCUUACCUAUCCAUGCUAGAUUGUCAUGUGUAUAGUGUGCAUAUAGAUGAACAUAUGGAUAAAAUAGAUGCAUGCUUGUUGGUGCUUCCUGUUGAAAGGGUUGAAGCCCUAAUUUCUCCUAUAGAGAACUGGCAUUUCUACAAGUUGUGAAGGGAGGUGUUUGAGGUCCUUCCAUGCAACUAAAGAUGCUGGUGCUGACUCAGCCUGUAAAUCUCUUGGCAUGUCUAAGGCUCAAGUGAAAGCAAUUCAAAACUUAUUGUGCGCAAAUUGCCAAUACAAACGGCAUCAGUGUUUUUUGUUUUUUUUUUUUGUGGCAAGUUGGGCUCUUCUGAUAAAUCCAGCAACGCUGAGGUUUGUUAUAUUCUAGCAGAAAUUUCAAGUCUUAAAAAAUAUUAAUUU
Magnolia sinica is the source of this 2129-nucleotide long non-coding RNA. RefSeq lists it as uncharacterized. NCBI's taxonomy places the organism in Eukaryota, Viridiplantae, Streptophyta, Magnoliopsida, Magnoliales, Magnoliaceae. The transcript is spliced from 8 exons. The record is from RefSeq and is a predicted model, not a curated record.